CACAGGAGCCCAGCCCUGGACUCCCAGCUCAGCCCACUCAGUGAUCAGGACUGAGCACAGCUGCUCACCAUGGAGAGUGUGUUCAGCUGGGUUUUCCUGGUGGCUGUUUUCAAAGGUGUCCAGUGUGAGGUGCAGCUGGUGGAGUCUGGGGGAGGCCUGGUGCAGCCUGGGGGUUCCCUGCGACUCUCCUGUGCAGCCUCUGGAUUCACCUUCAGUGACUACUGGAUGAGCUGGGUCCGCCAGGCUCCAGGGAAGGGGCUGGAGUGGGUUGGAGAAAUUAAUAAAAAUGGUGGUAGCACCUACUACCCAGACUCUGUGAAGGGCCGAUUCACCAUCUCCAGAGACAACUCCAAGAACACGCUGUACCUGCAAAUGGGCAGUCUGAGAACUGAGGACACAGCCACCUAUUACUGUGCUAGAGACACAGUGAGGGGACCUCAGUGUGAGCCCAGACACAAACCUCCCUGCAGGGCGCCUAGGGCCAGCAGGGGGCGCUCAGCACACAGGGAGCUCAGGGUCACCCAGGAGCAGGUGCAGAGGAGGUGA
Non-coding RNA from Marmota monax (woodchuck), 546 nucleotides. NCBI's taxonomy places the organism in Eukaryota, Metazoa, Chordata, Mammalia, Rodentia, Sciuridae. The record is from the annotation of a RefSeq genome assembly.